This 229-nucleotide ribosomal RNA is filed under the name Escherichia coli. RNAcentral's name for it is "partial 16S ribosomal RNA". It matches the Rfam family "Bacterial small subunit ribosomal RNA", at positions 1 to 224 of the family's 1533-position model. The record is from RNAcentral. Lineage: Bacteria; Pseudomonadati; Pseudomonadota; Gammaproteobacteria; Enterobacterales; Enterobacteriaceae.
UUAAAUUGAAGAGUUUGAUCAUGGCUCAGAUUGAACGCUGGCGGCAGGCCUAACACAUGCAAGUCGAACGGUAACAGGAAACAGCUUGCUGUUUCGCUGACGAGUGGCGGACGGGUGAGUAAUGUCUGGGAAACUGCCUGAUGGAGGGGGAUAACUACUGGAAACGGUAGCUAAUACCGCAUAACGUCGCAAGACCAAAGAGGGGGACCCUCGGGCCUCUUGCCAUCGG